AGUGAACGCUGGCGGUAGGCCUAACACAUGCAAGUCGAACGGCAGCACAGUAAGAGCUUGCUCUUACGGGUGGCGAGUGGCGGACGGGUGAGGAAUACAUCGGAAUCUACUUUUUCGUGGGGGAUAACGUAGGGAAACUUACGCUAAUACCGCAUACGACCUACGGGUGAAAGCAGGGGAUCUUCGGACCUUGCGCGAUUGAAUGAGCCGAUGUCGGAUUAGUAAGUUGGCGGGGUAAAGGCCCACAAAGGCGACGAUCCGUAGCUGGUCUGAGAGGAUGAUCAGCCACACUGGAACUGAGACACGGUCCAGACUCCUACGGGAGGCAGCAGUGGGGAAUAUUGGACAAUGGGCGCAAGCCUGAUCCAGCCAUACCGCGUGGGUGAAGAAGGCCUUCGGGUUGUAAAGCCCUUUUGUCGGGAAAGAAAAGCAGCAGGUUAAUACCGCGCUGUUCUGACGGUACCCAAAGAAUAAGCACCGGCUAACUUCGUG
Molecule: ribosomal RNA, 492 nt
Filed under: uncultured bacterium
Lineage: Bacteria
Description: partial 16S ribosomal RNA
Rfam family: Bacterial small subunit ribosomal RNA
Source: RNAcentral